UAUUGAAGGGCUUAUUCUAGAGAUCCGGUGUGAAGUUAAGGCUCGUCAACCCCGCACUAUGAUAGCUGCGAUCUCAUUUGCAAAUCUACAUGAGAAAAAAAUUAGCAAGGAAAGAUCAGCAAGGGGUUUGUACUAUGAUGAAAAAUGGAGUAUAGAGCACCGAUGUAAACAAGGGCAACUUCUGAUGAUUGAACCAAUUGGAGAGGAGCCGAAAGCUAAGAAUGUGGACUCCGAUCAUG
Molecule: long non-coding RNA, 239 nt
Filed under: Musa acuminata (dwarf banana)
Lineage: Eukaryota; Viridiplantae; Streptophyta; Magnoliopsida; Zingiberales; Musaceae
Description: long non-coding RNA (MACU_LNC008881)
Source: RNAcentral